GUGUUAAGGUUUGUUGGUGAGCCAAAGGGAAAACCAACGUUGUAAGGUUGUGGUUGGUGAGCCUUUGGGAAAACCAACUGGGUUGGAUUGUGAGCCCGUGAAAAUAAUCGGUUGGUUCUAGUCGGUGAGCCUGUGAAAACCGACCGAGUUCGUUGUGAUCUCGCAAAAUAACAAGUUGGGUUGUGAGCUUGUAAAACAACCGGCUGUAAUCUGAGGGAUUAUAGUGAAAUUCCUAAGAGGUCUUGGGGAGUGGAUGUAGGUGCUGGGAUGCACCGAACCACUAUACUUUUGUUGUGUUUGUGAUGCUCUUUGUUAUCUAACUUCCUCACUCACUUACUUACUUAGAUACUAUGCUUGCUUAACUCUUCUCCGUGCAUCUUUUAGUUGCAAGCAUAUUCAAUUUACUUAAUCAAGUCUCAUUCAAUAUAACAGCAUUAAGACUCAUUGUAUUGAAUUGCAUACUUGGGCAAACUUAGACUAAUCUUUUAUUGAGU
Molecule: long non-coding RNA, 494 nt
Filed under: Phoenix dactylifera (date palm)
Lineage: Eukaryota; Viridiplantae; Streptophyta; Magnoliopsida; Arecales; Arecaceae
Description: long non-coding RNA (PDAC_LNC003899)
Source: RNAcentral